GCCUAGCUUCCUUCACAACUGUUGAGCUCUGGCUUCUUAAAGCCUAAGUGGCUGUUCAACAGCUACUAACGCUUCAGUGCUUUGCAAAAGCACUCGCCAGGUAUCCUUUCAAUAUUAUUAUGAAAUAACGUUGCGAAAAUCAUGCGCGCGCUUAGUCCUUGAUCAAGAAAUCUCUUGGCGCUGUUCCCCGCGAAGCUUAUUUUCCGCCCACUGCGGCGGGCACGGGCUGACUUUUCCCCGUUUCUUAGGCCUGGCCUCUUGACAAUUACCCCGCAUAUAGAUUCCAACAAAGAUUAUAGAUCUAAUCAUCCCGCAACAUGAUCAAACUGCUGUCGGAAAUCUAGCAACUACCCUGAACGCAGUUCGAACUCUCGUCACCUCCCACUUUUCCACUUAUCAAUAUGCCUCUGAUCGUGCAGAAUGUCAAACCUCGCGUCAUUCUGGGUUUGAUGACUUUUGGUCCUGAUACUGAGGCAGGCGCACGCAUCACUUCCCUAGAUGACUACAAAAAAUGUCUAGACUAUUUCCAGCAGCAAGGCUAUAACGAAAUUGAUACUGCCCGCACCUACGUUGACGGGAAACAGGAAGCCUUUACAGCCCAAGCGGGCUGGAAGGAGCGGGGCCUCACCAUAGCGACCAAAUGGUAUCCUAAAGAACCAGGCCACCACCACGCCAAUGUUGUGAAAGAGAAACUCAAUCAGUCUCUGAAAGAGUUGCAAACAGAUUGCGUUGAUAUUUUUUAUUUGCAUGCAGCGGAUAGAUCGGUCCCCUUCGCAGAGACGUUAGAGGCUGUCAACGAGCUCCAUAAGGAAGGGAAAUUUGUGGAACUUGGAUUGAGUAAUUAUGCAGCCUUUGAAGUUGCGGAAAUUGUCACUAUGUGCAAUGAGCGCGGUUGGGUUAGACCAACAAUCUAUCAGGCAAUGUAUAAUGCCAUCACCCGCUCGAUUGAAUCAGAACUCAUCCCCGCCUGCAGACGCUUCGGUAUCGACGUGGUAAUUUACAACCCGCUAGCCGGCGGCCUCUUAUCUGGUAAAUACAAAACCACCGAAAUACCAGCUACCGGCCGUUUUGCGAACCCAUCCUUAGGCGCUAUGUACCGCAAACGAUACUUCAGAGAUGCGAACCUCGACGCUCUGCAUAUCAUUGAGCCGGUCGUGCAGAAGCAUAAUUUAACGCUAGUCGAGACCGCACUCCGCUGGGUGCAUCAUCACUCUGCGUUGAAUAUUGGAACCGGAUCGUCAUCGCGCGAUGGAAUUAUCAUUGGCGUGGGCAGCUUUGAGCAGCUGCAGGCGAAUUUAGCGGAUAU
Molecule: small RNA, 1306 nt
Filed under: Histoplasma ohiense
Lineage: Eukaryota; Fungi; Ascomycota; Eurotiomycetes; Onygenales; Ajellomycetaceae
Description: hypothetical lncRNA
Source: RNAcentral